Molecule: long non-coding RNA, 890 nt
Filed under: Homo sapiens (human)
Lineage: Eukaryota; Metazoa; Chordata; Mammalia; Primates; Hominidae
Description: HSALNT0386912
Source: RNAcentral
GUCUGGAAAUUCUUUGCCUCACUGUUUUUCAAAGAAGCUUAGCUAUGGAGGGAAGAUCCCGAGUGAAAGGCCUGGCCACCUCUGUUGACAUGUGUAACAAUAUGUUGAAUUUGCCAUGGGCCUUUAAAGCUUCAAUGUUGUGAAGAGCUCUGCAUGAAAUUUUAAAGAGACUGGACCUUUCAUCUGCACAACAGCAGGGCACCUCGCUAUAGGGACAAGAAAGGAAGAGAGAGAGAGAACAUUUCUGAAGUAAUAGUGAAAAAUAACAGCAGAAGCAAUUAUUUCAUCAAAGAUUGCAGGGAGAGGCUCCUCCGUGCUCCUGAGAGGCCGAACACAGGGUCGCCAGCACAGCUUACUGCUCGGUGUCUCCUGAGCCACAGAGGAAGACGUGGCAGGAGCACCUGGUGCUAAUAUAUAUUCAUGUCUAUGGCAAUGCCGACCAUCUGGCUGGUCUGAACCAGGAUAAAAGUGAAGAAUUCCUCUGUGAAGACCCAGCUCUUUCUUUGGCUCCUUUUUUGAAGCCAUCUUUGCUCUGCUCUCCUCUGCUGCCCAGAAAGUUCCAGAGUGAAGCUCAGCUCUAGAUGAACAAAAACUGGUUGAGUCCAGAGAUGCCUGAGUUGGAGAUGAACCUUGCAAACUUUCCUCAUUACCAUACUAAAAACCCCACCCAGGAAGGAGCUUAUCUGCCAUUUCCUACACAUGUGACAUAUGGAGAAGCAUGAUCAGCUACUUCACAGUCUCUGCCUUUACUCUGCCUCCGCAUACAAUGGCUCAGCCAACUAGCCUAACGAAAGCUGUUUUCACCAUUGUUUGGGAGGUACUGCUUUGGGAAACUGCCCCAGCUGUCCUCCUUACUUGUUGUAGGUAAUAAAAUCCCUUUGUUAAAUCUU